RNAcentral lists this unclassified non-coding RNA (241 nucleotides) under Scytalidium sp. Its description in RNAcentral is "partial contains 5.8S ribosomal RNA, internal transcribed spacer 2, and large subunit ribosomal RNA". The stretch from base 1 to 52 matches the Rfam family "5.8S ribosomal RNA", at positions 103 to 154 of the family's 154-position model. Lineage: Eukaryota; Fungi; Ascomycota; Leotiomycetes. The record is from RNAcentral.
AACGCACAUUGCGCCCUGUGGUAUUCCGCAGGGCAUGCCUGUUCGAGCGUCAGUACAACACUCAAGCCUAGCUUGGUCUCGGGCCUCGCCGGAGACGGCGGGUCUUAAAAUCAGUGGCGGCGCCUGUUAGGCCCUAAGCGUAGUAAUACUCCUCGCUACAGGGACCCGGCAGACGCUGGCCAGCAACCCCCAACUUUCUAAGUUUGACCUCGGAUCAGGUAGGGAUACCCGCUGAACUUAA